GUGUUUGCUUUCACAGCACAUAUAUUAAAAAUUUGGAAUAACACUGAGAAGAUUAGCAUGACCCCUGCCCGAGGAUGACACACAAAUUUGUUAAGCUUUUCAUAUUUUU
Molecule: small nuclear RNA, 109 nt
Organism: Bison bison bison
Lineage: Eukaryota; Metazoa; Chordata; Mammalia; Artiodactyla; Bovidae
Source: Ensembl